AUAUCAAUAAGCGGAGGAAAAGAAACCAACAGGGAUUGCCCUAGUAACGGCGAGUGAAGCGGCAACAGCUCAAAUUUGAAAUCUGGCCCUCGCGGUCCGAGUUGUAAUUUGUAGAGGAUGCUUUGGGCGCGGCGCCUUCCAAGUUCCCUAGAACGGGACGCCUUAGAGGGUGAGAGCCCCGUACGGUUGGACGCCUAGCCUAUGUAUAGCUCCUUCGACGAGUCGAGUAGUUUGGGAAUGCUGCUCUAAAUGGGAGGUAAAUUUCUUCUAAAGCUAAAUACCGGCCAGAGACCGAUAGCGCACAAGUAGAGUGAUCGAAAGAUGAAAAGUACUUUGAAAAGAGGGUUAAAUAGCACGUGAAAUUGUUGAAAGGGAAGCGUUUGCGACCAGACCUUUUCCAGGCGGAUCAUCCGGCGUUCUCGCCGGUGCACUUCGCCUGGUUUAGGCCAGCAUCGGUUUUCCCAGGGGGAUAAAGGCGGCGGGAACGUAGCUCUCUCGGGAGUGUUAUAGCCCGCCGCGUAAUACCCUUGGGGGGACCGAGGACCGCGCUUCGGCAAGGAUGCUGGCGUAAUGGUCGUCAACGACCCGUCUUGAAACACGGACCAAGGAGUCGAACAUUUGUGCGAGUGUUUGGGUGUCAAACCCUCACGCGUAAUGAAAGUGAACGGAGGUGAGAGCCCCUCGCGGGUGCAUCAUCGACCGAUCCUGAUGUCUUCGGAUGGAUUUGAGUAAGAGCAUAACUGUUCGGACCCGAAAGAUGGUGAACUAUGCGUGGAUAGGGUGAAGCCAGAGGAAACUCUGGUGGAGGCUCGCAGCGGUUCUGACGUGCAAAUCGAUCGUCAAAUCUGCGCAUGGGGGCGAAAGACUUAUCGAACCAUCUAGUAGCUGGUUACCGC
Molecule: ribosomal RNA, 896 nt
Filed under: Pyrenopolyporus cinereopigmentosus
Lineage: Eukaryota; Fungi; Ascomycota; Sordariomycetes; Xylariales; Hypoxylaceae
Description: partial large subunit ribosomal RNA
Rfam family: Eukaryotic large subunit ribosomal RNA
Source: RNAcentral